ACGAACGCUGGCGGCAUGCCUAACACAUGCAAGUCGAACGGGACCUUCGGGUCUAGUGGCGCACGGGUGCGUAACGCGUGGGAACCUGCCCUUAGGUUCGGAAUAACUCCCCGAAAGGGGUGCUAAUACCGGAUAAUGUCUUCGGACCAAAGAUUUAUCGCCUUUGGAUGGGCCCGCGUUGGAUUAGCUAGUUGGUAGGGUAAAAGCCUACCAAGGCGACGAUCCAUAGCUGGUCUGAGAGGAUGAUCGGCCACACUGGGACUGAGACACGGCCCAGACUCCUACGGGAGGCAGCAGUGGGGAAUAUUGGACAAUGGGCGAAAGCCUGAUCCAGCAAUGCCGCGUGAGUGAUGAAGGCCUUAGAGUUGUAAAGCUCUUUUACCCGGGAUGAUAAUGACAGUACCGGGAGAAUAAGCUCCGGCUAACUCCGUG
This 432-nucleotide ribosomal RNA is filed under the name uncultured bacterium. Its description in RNAcentral is "partial 16S ribosomal RNA". It matches the Rfam family "Bacterial small subunit ribosomal RNA", at positions 29 to 507 of the family's 1533-position model. The record is from RNAcentral.